GAUGAACGCUGGCGGCGUGCCUAAUACAUGCAAGUCGAGCGAACAGACGAGGAGCUUGCUCCUCUGACGUUAGCGGCGGACGGGUGAGUAACACGUGGAUAACCUACCUAUAAGACUGGGAUAACUUCGGGAAACCGGAGCUAAUACCGGAUCAUAUAUUGAACCGCAUGGUUCAAUAGUGAAAGACGGUUUUGCUGUCCCUUAUAGAUGGAUCCGCGCCGCAUUAGCUAGUUGGUAAGGUAACGGCUUACCAAGGCAACGAUGCGUAGCCGACCUGAGAGGGUGAUCGGCCACACUGGAACUGAGACACGGUCCAGACUCCUACGGGAGGCAGCAGUAGGGAAUCUUCCGCAAUGGGCGAAAGCCUGACGGAGCAACGCCGCGUGAGUGAUGAAGGUCUUCGGAUCGUAAAACUCUGUUAUUAGGGAAGAACAAAUGUGUAAGUAACUAUGCAUGUCUUGACGGUACCUAAUCAGAAAGCCACGGCUAACUACGCG
RNAcentral lists this ribosomal RNA (497 nucleotides) under uncultured bacterium. Its description in RNAcentral is "partial 16S ribosomal RNA". It matches the Rfam family "Bacterial small subunit ribosomal RNA", at positions 28 to 507 of the family's 1533-position model. The record is from RNAcentral.